AACGAACGCUGGCGGCAUGCUUAACACAUGCAAGUCGAACGGGCUUAUGGGGCUUGCUCCAUAAGUUAGUGGCAGACGGGUGAGUAACGCGUGGGAAUGUACCUUUUGGUUCGGAAUAACUGCGGGAAACUGUGGCUAAUACCGGAUAAGCCCGUGAGGGGAAAGAUUUAUCGCCAAAAGAGCAGCCCGCGUUAGAUUAGGUAGUUGGUGGGGUAAUGGCCUACCAAGCCUGCGAUCUAUAGCUGGUCUGAGAGGAUGAUCAGCCACACUGGGACUGAGACAUGGCCCAGACUCCUACGGGAGGCAGCAGUGGGGAAUAUUGGACAAUGGGGGAAACCCUGAUCCAGCAAUGCCGCGUGAGUGAUGAAGGCCUUCGGGUUGUAAAGCUCUUUUGUCAGGGACGAUGAUGACGGUACCUGACGAAUAAGCUCCGGCUAACUUCGUGCCAGCAGCCGCAGUAA
Molecule: ribosomal RNA, 461 nt
Filed under: uncultured bacterium
Lineage: Bacteria
Description: partial 16S ribosomal RNA
Rfam family: Bacterial small subunit ribosomal RNA
Source: RNAcentral